UGGGGGGAUAUUGCACAAUGGGCGAAAGCCUGAUGCAGCGACGCCGCGUGAGGGAAGACGGUUUUCGGAUUGUAAACCUCUGUCUUCGGGGACGAAAAUGACGGUACCCGAGGAGGAAGCCACGGCUAACUACGUGCCAGCAGCCGCGGUAAUACGUAGGUGGCAAGCGUUGUCCGGAAUUACUGGGUGUAAAGGGAGAGUAGGCGGGAUUGCAAGUCCGUUGUUAAAUCUAGGGGCUCAACCCCUAAACUGCAUUUGAAACUGUAGCCCUUGAGUAUCGGAGAGGCAAGCGGAAUUCCUAGUGUAGCGGUGAAAUACGUAGAUAUUAGGAGGAACACCAGUGGCGAAGGCGGCUUGCUGGACGACAACUGACGCUGAGGCGCGAAAGCGUGGGGAGCAAACAGGAUUAGAUACCCUGGUAGU
This 423-nucleotide ribosomal RNA is filed under the name uncultured Oscillospiraceae bacterium. Its description in RNAcentral is "bacterial SSU rRNA". It matches the Rfam family "Bacterial small subunit ribosomal RNA", at positions 354 to 794 of the family's 1533-position model. Lineage: Bacteria; Bacillati; Bacillota; Clostridia; Eubacteriales; Oscillospiraceae. The record is from RNAcentral.